Molecule: ribosomal RNA, 301 nt
Filed under: uncultured bacterium
Lineage: Bacteria
Description: partial 16S ribosomal RNA
Rfam family: Bacterial small subunit ribosomal RNA
Source: RNAcentral
CAGUAGCCGCGGGAAUACAGAGGGUGCGAGCGUUAAUCGGAUUUACUGGGCGUAAAGCGUGCGUAGGCGGCUUCUUAAGUCGGAUGUGAAAUCCCUGAGCUUAACUUAGGAAUUGCAUUCGAUACUGGGAAGCUAGAGUAUGGGAGAGGAUGGUAGAAUUCCAGGUGUAGCGGUGAAAUGCGUAGAGAUCUGGAGGAAUACCGGUGGCGAAGGCGGCCCCCUGGACAAAGACUGACGCUCAGGUGCGAAAGCGUGGGGAGCAAACAGGAUUAGAUACCCCAGUAGUCCCUGUCUCUUAUAA